UGGUAGUCCACGCCNUAAACGAUGUCGAUUAGCUGUUGGGCAGCAUGACUGCUUAGUAGCGAAGCUAACGCGUGAAAUCGACCGCCUGGGGAGUACGGUCGCAAGAUUAAAACUCAAAGGAAUUGACGGGGACCCGCACAAGCGGUGGAUGAUGUGGAUUAAUUCGAUGCAACGCGAAGAACCUUACCUGGUCUUGACAUGUACGGAACCCUCCAGAGACGGAGGAGUGCCUUCGGGAGCCGUAACACAGGUGCUGCAUGGCUGUCGUCAGCUCGUGUCGUGAGAUGUUGGGUUAAGUCCCGCAACGAGCGCAACCCUUGUCAUUAGUUGCCAUCAUUAAGUUGGGCACUCUAAUGAGACUGCCGGUGACAAGCCGGAGGAAGGUGGGGAUGACGUCAAGUCCUCAUGGCCCUUAUGACCAGGGCUUCACACGUCAUACAAUGGUCGGUACAGAGGGUAGCCAAGCCGUGAGGCGGAGCCAAUCUCACAAAACCGAUCGUAGUCCGGAUUGCACUCUGCAACUCGAGUGCAUGAAGUCGGAAUCGCUAGUAAUCGCAGGUCAGCAUACUGCGGUGAAUACGUUCCCGGGUCUUGU
This 595-nucleotide ribosomal RNA is filed under the name uncultured bacterium. RNAcentral's name for it is "bacterial SSU rRNA". It matches the Rfam family "Bacterial small subunit ribosomal RNA", at positions 788 to 1384 of the family's 1533-position model. The record is from RNAcentral.